AAGUCGUAACAAGGUUUCCGUAGGUGAACCUGCGGAAGGAUCAUUAACAAUUUUGGAGGCAGGCUGUAUAAGUCUGGUUGGCAACAACUAGCAUGCCCCUCUCUAUUGUACCCUUGUCUAUUUGCGCACUCAUGUUUCCUCGGUGGGCUUGCCCGCCGAUUGGACAACCUUAAAACCUUUUUAAUUGUUAAAUCAGCGUCUGAAAUAAACUUAAUAAUUACAACUUUCAACAACGGAUCUCUUGGUUCUG
RNAcentral lists this unclassified non-coding RNA (250 nucleotides) under air metagenome. RNAcentral describes it as "partial contains small subunit ribosomal RNA, internal transcribed spacer 1, and 5.8S ribosomal RNA". The stretch from base 1 to 46 matches the Rfam family "Eukaryotic small subunit ribosomal RNA", at positions 1786 to 1831 of the family's 1831-position model. The record is from RNAcentral.